Molecule: ribosomal RNA, 246 nt
Filed under: uncultured bacterium
Lineage: Bacteria
Description: partial 16S ribosomal RNA
Rfam family: Bacterial small subunit ribosomal RNA
Source: RNAcentral
GAUGAACGCUAGCGGCACGCCUAAUACAUGCAAGUCAAGGGGAUCAGCAAUGGUCACCGGCGGACGGGUGCGUAACGCGUACAGAACGUGCCUUUGGGCGUCUGAGUGGGGGAUAACAUUGGGAAAGAGGGCUAAUACCGCAUGAGACCACGCCUCUGAGAGGAGGAGGGGUCAAAGCCGGGUCCAUGAAUCUGGCGCUUGGAGAUGAGCCUGCGGCCCAUCAGCUAGUUGGCGGGGUAACGGCCC